This 498-nucleotide ribosomal RNA is filed under the name uncultured bacterium. RNAcentral describes it as "partial 16S ribosomal RNA". It matches the Rfam family "Bacterial small subunit ribosomal RNA", at positions 29 to 507 of the family's 1533-position model. The record is from RNAcentral.
ACGAACGCUGGCGGCGUGCCUAAUACAUGCAAGUCGAGCGAAGUUUUUCUGGUGCUUGCACUAGAAAAACUUAGCGGCGAACGGGUGAGUAACACGUAAAGAACCUGCCUCAUAGACUGGGACAACUAUUGGAAACGAUAGCUAAUACCGGAUAACAGUAUUUCUCGCAUGAGAGAUAUUUAAAAGUUAGUUAUGCUAACACUAUGAGAUGGCUUUGCGGUGCAUUAGCUAGUUGGUGGGGUAAAGGCCCACCAAGGCGACGAUGCAUAGCCGACCUGAGAGGGUGAUCGGCCACACUGGGACUGAGACACGGCCCAGACUCCUACGGGAGGCAGCAGUAGGGAAUCUUCCGCAAUGGGCGAAAGCCUGACGGAGCAACGCCGCGUGAGUGAAGAAGGAUUUCGGUUCGUAAAGCUCUGUUGUUAGGGAAGAAUGGAUAUGUAGUAACUAUACAUGUAAGAGACGGUACCUAACCAGAAAGCCACGGCUAACUACGUG